GUGAGGAAUAUUGCGCAAUGGGGGCAACCCUGACGCAGCAACGCCGCGUGAGUGAGGAAGGUCUUCGGAUCGUAAAGCUCUGUCGGGUGGGAAGAAGUGUAUAUAAGUUAAUAGCUUGUGUACUUGACGGUACCGCCAAAGGAAGCACCGGCUAACUCCGUGCCAGCAGCCGCGGUAAUACGGGGGGUGCAAGCGUUGUUCGGAAUCAUUGGGCGUAACGAGCGUGUAGGCGGCUAGGCAAGUCAGAUGUGAAAUCCCUGGGCUUAACCCAGGAAGUGCAUUCGAAACUGCUUAGCUUGAGUAAGGAAGAGGGAAGUGGAAUUCCUGGUGUAUAGGUGAAAUUCGUAGAUAUCAGGAGGAACACCGGUGGCGAAGGCGACUUCCUGGUCCUAUACUGACGCUGAGACGCGAGAGCGUGGGGAGCAAACAGGAUUAGAAACCCCGGUAGUCC
This 451-nucleotide ribosomal RNA is filed under the name uncultured bacterium. Its description in RNAcentral is "partial 16S ribosomal RNA". It matches the Rfam family "Bacterial small subunit ribosomal RNA", at positions 354 to 796 of the family's 1533-position model. The record is from RNAcentral.